UCUAAUAUGGCAGAUUAGUGCAAUGGAUUUAAGCCCCAUAUAUAAAAUUUAUUAUUUUUGUUAGAA
Molecule: transfer RNA, 66 nt
Filed under: Potthastia sp. 1XL
Lineage: Eukaryota; Metazoa; Arthropoda; Insecta; Diptera; Chironomidae
Description: tRNA-Leu
Source: RNAcentral